Molecule: RNA transcript, 3781 nt
Organism: Carassius auratus (goldfish)
Lineage: Eukaryota; Metazoa; Chordata; Actinopteri; Cypriniformes; Cyprinidae
Exons: 11
Source: RefSeq, a predicted model, not a curated record
CACGUGACCCUGACGCGCUCGUGAACCGCACUCAGGGAAGUUGUUUUCCGUUACUUCUACUUUUAAAAUGUGAAGUUUAACUUAGAAUAACGCUAUUCGAUCUGUUCAGCCAAAAGGUGGUCUACAUCCAUAAAGAGCUUGUGGACGCAGAGUACAAAGAUGUCCAAGCUGGCUUCCCGUAACUCUCAGCUGCUGCUGGCGGAUCAGAAGUGUGCUAGAUGUCUGUUAGAGACGUAUGUCAAGCGGAGCCUCAGCCUCAAUGAAGGGUGCCGGAAACAUCAGCUGAAUAAGCUCAAAUGGCUUAAACCAGAAAGACAGUCCAGACGGGCGUCCAGUGACACCUCCACCCACCGUCUGAGAGUAGAGAGGUUCCUGAAGACCGGUGAGUGUCCUGAAUGCACAUCACAAGAGCUGGUCACUAGGAGUAAGAGCACCAAAGCACCGAGCAGAACCAAAUCACUCUUCAGAGGCUUCCUCCACCUCUUCUCUAAGAAGAAGACUGAGCCCAAAGUGAAAGAGGAGCGAGUUACAGAAACAGACUCUGGACAGUAUACGACAGAGCGGGGGCUUCGCUCUUCUCAUAACGGCUCACCUGGCCACACUGAGACUGUGAGGAAGAAACACUCUCUGAGGAGGAUCUUCUUUAGCAACCAAAAUGAUGAGAAAAGAGAAACAUUACGAAAGGACUGCUCUCCUGUUCCUGGUGGCGUGGAGGGGCUUUCAGACGUGAGCGUGGAUUCUGAUAAUGCAUACUUUGAGAAGGUGUCAGAAGAGCUGGAGUUGAUUGUGAAGGAGAUUCAGUUCAGUCCAAACGAAGAUGGUGUUCCGCUGCUCUCUGCUGCUUCUGCAGGAAACUGCAGCUCUUCAGGUGAAGACACUACAGAGAGGAUCAUCAGCCUGCUGAAGCAACAUGGGGAUAUUAUAGAUCAGAAAAUAAGCAGGAACAAGAGCGUCCAAGACUUCCUCCAGAAACUGUCUUACAGCUCCUUCCAGCGGCUCGCUGAUCGCUACAUAGCGCAGAUCCCCAGUCCUCUUCCCCAGACCACAGACGCCUCUCCUGAGCUGGUCAGACUGGCCUUCACCCUGGACUUUACUGCCAAAGUGGCUGGAUUGUGCAGCCAGACGGUCGGUCGAAUCAUGGGGUUUGGGAACCAGUACCUUCAGGAUUCCUUCACACAAAUGUGUGCAGCCCACAGACAGGUGCCCGAAGAUUUGGAAGAACAGAUUACAAGUGACACAGACUGACUGUGAAGUCAAAAAAAGAUUAAAAGUGAAAACAGGAGUGUGAAGAGCUUUGUGAGGGUUUGUGCCAUGGAUGGAGUCGGCGGGAAGACAGCGGAGACGUGCCCAUUCAGAUCCGAGGAGGUCAUCACGUGUCUCUCAUGGUGUUCAUGGUGAACUUGCGCAGGUGGUGGCACUCCAGAUUGGCAGUGUGAAGAGUAAGAGCAGGUAUGAGAGCGCCCACUGAGGUAAAGCCACAUCCGAAUCACUCAUGAUCUCCAGCUGCCCCACCAUAUUACCCAACAGCACUAAACCAGGGAAUACGAGACUGGUUCACUUCUGGAUCACAUCCUCCACCAUCAGGAAUGUAGACGGGACACUACAGUACCUUCCUGAACCUCUGCUGGUGGUCCAGGGCCGUUUUGAUGGGAUUCCUCUUCCUCUGCACGAUCAGACUGAGUCAGCAUCCAGUGACCUGAGCUCACUGAAUCAUCGGACGCAUCAGACUCCCUUCUCUGUUGAGGAUAUAGCGGCAGUGCAUCUGUUGAGGUGUUCAGGUUUGUUUACUCUGAAACAGAAAAAAAGCACCGUAGCCGUCUAUGUGUCUGUGUCGGGACACGGUCCCAGACCUCACCCUCCAGUCUCGAGGAAACAAGGCGUCCACCAGCCUGAUGAAGUUGGUGACGGAGCACUGGAAGGAGAGCCGCUGGAUGAUGGCAUCGCACAGGAUGGUGCAGGUAUCAAACGGACAGAUGUCCAUGUUUCCAGCAAACGGUGAGAUGGUGAGGGUGCGAGAGGAAUCCUCGAAGGGCUGGAUGUUUGUGAAACCUCCAUCCAUAUAGUGCUGGGAAUAUACAGGGGCGUUGUGUUCAUAGCUUAUUCUGGGCUGACUGUUUAAGUGUAUUUCUGUAGUUUUUAGGCACUUGUACUCACCUCACCUUUAUACUGCGGUGGGAUCACUCCAGAAUAUACAGGGACAAAACAACUACACAAAAGUGCCUUAGAGAUUGUAACAAGGCCAUUUAAAGAAAAAACGAAAGAGAAAGAAAACAACAGAGUUGGACCUUUAUUACAAACAUGAUUUCAUCAUCAACAAAUAAGCCCAAGUGAUGAAUUUAAGUUAGCUCUUCCUCUUUCUUGAAAGGAAGCGCUGCAUGCGUUCAGGAUUUUCGAAGAAAACACAAUUUCAUAGCUAUUACUAGGAUGUGCAAUAUUGUCCUUCUGCUUUCCAGAGUUUCGAUGCUUUUUAAUUCAAACUGAUAAAGUUUGAGCGUUCUUCCAUAAAGGACGGUUAUUGUGUUUAUUUUAGUAGUUUCCAUGAAAUAAUCUAAAGUGAGCACUAUUUACUUUUUACAACUCCUUUUCUAUUGGUUUAAAUAUUGCACAUCAGUUUGGUCAGUUGUUAACAAAGGAUAAUGAAACAUCUGACUCUUUGCAUAUGAGCUAAUUAAACACACAAUAGAUUAACUACAAUAGAUUGCAACUGAUUUAUUAGUGCUUUGGUACUGUAUAUGUUACUCUGAAUGAACGUCAUAAUGCUUACUUUAAUAAGCUCAUCGCUGGAAUUAAAUUCUGACACGAUGAGGUUUUUUCCAUCAGAGAUGCGAGUCACGGAGACGUGCAGACGGCCGCUGGCCAGAGUGUGUGCGUUAUCAGGCAGACAGCGCUGCAGUGUGACCUCCAGCCACCGGAAAAUAUCCACCGUGGGACUGAGAAGACCGAGAGGAUGCUGUUGGGUAAAUCGCACAAACUCCAAAAGCUGGUCUCGAACAUGUUCUGUGAGAAGAAAGGGCUGUUUUUAAUUACUACUGACUCAAUUGUAAGCCAUGAUUCUUUAAUCCAACUAACUACAGUAACAGCACAUUACAGGUUUUUUAUUUUAAUUGCUUACAAAACUUAGCCUCUUUUUUCCAAAACUUUCAGUCAAAUGCUGAGAUUUAGUUUAUGGUUUGGCAGGUUUGGUGUGUGGUUCUGGUGUUUUUGAGUGACAGUUUUCAGAAAUGUGUGACAAGUAAAGAUUUUGUGUGUAAGCAGUUGAAAAAAAAACUGUAAACCAGGCAGCAAUCUGUUCGUGGUGAGGUGGGAUGUGAACCUACAAUCUUUACAGUAAGUAAAAUACUAAGUCUUAGUCAGUCAGUGAAAGUUCUGAAUAGAAAGAUGUCAGAUUACCGAGACUGGAGCCACAGACGACCGCUGCAGCGACCAGGGAACCAGCAGACGCGCCGUAGACCCUCGGAGCUCCUCGCAGGAUCCAGGCGGCGUUAUCCAGAAGACUCUGUGCAGCACCGAGCUGGUGGCGUCUCUCACCAGACUCCUGCUGAACACUACCACUCAUUAUGCCUGAUGCAUCACACCUGUAUGUUGCCCAAUUUAAGUGUGUUUGCGCCAUGCUUUAUUGUUCAGUCUUGAGCCUAUGUUACCUGUUGCAAGCUAAGUCUGUUAAAGUUUAAGUUUAAGCCUUUGGAUCCUUGUGUCUAUUUUUCUUUGUACUGUUUUUUGGAAGCACAGCUUCUCUUGUUUUUUUUGCACCUUUUAUUAAUAAAGUUUGUCUUUUGUUGAA